Rhypophila decipiens is the source of this 131-nucleotide non-coding RNA. Lineage: Eukaryota; Fungi; Ascomycota; Sordariomycetes; Sordariales; Naviculisporaceae. The record is from the annotation of a GenBank genome assembly.
GCCCCCGUAGCUCAGUGGUCAGAGCGCGGACAGCGUUGAUAUUUCCCAGCGUUGAGACCUAGCGAAUUUAGCGAAGUCUAUUACGAAAAUCAGCGCAUCCGAGGACAGCGGUUCGAAUCCGCUCGGGGGCA